Molecule: unclassified non-coding RNA, 318 nt
Filed under: Scolecobasidium constrictum
Lineage: Eukaryota; Fungi; Ascomycota; Dothideomycetes; Venturiales; Sympoventuriaceae
Description: Ochroconis constricta partial internal transcribed spacer region
Rfam family: Eukaryotic small subunit ribosomal RNA (bases 1-46)
Source: RNAcentral
AAGUCGUAACAAGGUUUCCGUAGGUGAACCUGCGGAAGGAUCAUUACCGAGUGGCGCGAAAUUCCUGUCGUGAGACGGGGAAGCUACCCGACCUUUUGUCAUUUUGUCGAGUCUGGCUGGCGGGAUUGCAUUCGUGAGAAGCGAGUGUGGAUUUCGGCAGACGGACCAAAACUUCGGCGGAAGAGGUAGGCGUAGACCUGCCCGCCGCCGGCCGUAGAAGACAAUACACAUUCUUGAGAGCAAACUGAAGUCUAAGACGAUACUUGAAAAAGAAAUAGUAAAAAAGCAAAACUUUCAACAACGGAUCUCUUGGCUCUG